UAGAUAAGAGCGUGUUUGUAUCUCAUGCGUGUUGCUCCGAUCACAUUUCUUCAGUCACACUUUUGCAAAGCUUGAAUUAGUUGCACGCCGUCUCGGAGACGCAUUGUGAUGCAGACUGAAAUCUAAUGGGAAUGUCUUCCGUGAAAAAGAAUGGAUGAUGAAUGAGAAAGACAAAGAACAAAGAAAGGCCAAUCUAGAUGGGAAGGAAAUACAAGUGAAGCGAUGAAAGGCAGAGGCGUGUAGUAAAAUAGCGCGAAGACACCGUGUGAUACGCUGAGAAGAGAGAGCCGAGGCAGAGACGACGGACUGGGAAUACCGAUGGCACGACUUCUGAGAGUCUGGCAGCAGAAACCCCACGGCAACAAAGUCCGGUUGUCCUUUGAGCUCCACGGAGACGCCGAAAAGAAGGAGAGAGUCUGAAUGUUGAACAAGAUGUUGUCGGUGUAUCUGUGUGCGACAGCGUCCCAGUGAGGAGGCAGUGAUCCGAUAACCCAGCCCCUGAAUUGCAGUCAUUCCUACGUUCUUCCAGGCAUUUGUAUAUAACAGCCAACACACACUGUGCCUUGUCUUCAGCUGACACUGGAUGACCUUACCCUAAUAAAAACAAGGUCUGUCAGAUGCAAAUUAGCUGAAGCUACACUCUGGUACAGAGCAUCAAAUGGUGACAUGACUCAAGCAGAUGGCUGGCCUGUAAGAGAUGAAUGCAUUCUACAAGGAUAAUGUUCAGCAGCAGAGGCUCUAUCGAUCUGCGCACCGAAAGGGAAAAGUCUUUGCAGCAUGCGGAGAGCUGCGGGUCACAAGGCCAGCCAUGCAGUCAGCAGGUGGAUUCACUCACAGCAGGGACGGACACGCACGUCAACACAAUCA
Molecule: long non-coding RNA, 867 nt
Organism: Pseudoliparis swirei
Lineage: Eukaryota; Metazoa; Chordata; Actinopteri; Perciformes; Liparidae
Exons: 5
Source: RefSeq, a predicted model, not a curated record